Molecule: ribosomal RNA, 253 nt
Filed under: uncultured archaeon
Lineage: Archaea
Description: partial 16S ribosomal RNA
Rfam family: Archaeal small subunit ribosomal RNA
Source: RNAcentral
UACCAGCUCUCCGAGUGGUGUGGAUGUUUAUUGGGCCUAAAGCAUCCGUAGCUGGCUAAGUUAGUCCCUUGUUAAAUCCACCGAAUUAAUCGUUGGAUUGCGGGGGAUACUGCUUGGCUAGGGGACGAGAGAGGCAGACGGUAUUUUUGGGGUAGGGGUGAAAUCCUAUAAUCCCAGGAAGACCACCAGUGGCGAAGGCUGUCUGCUAGAACGCGCCCGACGGUGAGGGAUGAAAGCUGGGGGAGCGAACCGG